CCUUUUGGGGAUCGCCGUCCGUCAGCGCGUUGCGCCCACGGGCGCCGUUCCG
This 52-nucleotide small RNA is filed under the name Pseudoroseicyclus aestuarii. RNAcentral describes it as "ffh sRNA". It matches the Rfam family "ffh sRNA". Lineage: Bacteria; Pseudomonadati; Pseudomonadota; Alphaproteobacteria; Rhodobacterales; Paracoccaceae. The record is from Rfam by way of RNAcentral.